RNAcentral lists this ribosomal RNA (510 nucleotides) under uncultured bacterium. RNAcentral describes it as "bacterial SSU rRNA". It matches the Rfam family "Bacterial small subunit ribosomal RNA", at positions 8 to 507 of the family's 1533-position model. The record is from RNAcentral.
AGAGUUUGAUCCUGGCUCAGAGUGAACGCUGGCGGCAGGCCUAAUACAUGCAAGUCGAACGGCAGCACAGCAGAGCUUGCUCUGUGGGUGGCGAGUGGCGGACGGGUGAGGAAUACGUGGGAAUCUGCCCAGUCGUGGGGGAUAACGUAGGGAAACUUACGCUAAUACCGCAUGCGCCCUUCGGGGGAAAGCCGGGGACCUUCGGGCCUGGCGCGAUUGGAUGAGCCCACGUCGGAUUAGCUAGUUGGCGGGGUAAAGGCCCACCAAGGCGACGAUCCGUAGCUGGUCUGAGAGGAUGAUCAGCCACACUGGAACUGAGACACGGUCCAGACUCCUACGGGAGGCAGCAGUAGGGAAUAUUGGACAAUGGGCGCAAGCCUGAUCCAGCCAUGCCGCGUGAGUGAAGAAAGCCCUCGGGUUGUAAAGCUCUUUUGUCCGGAAAGAAAAGCGCCGGGUUAAUACCCUGGUGUCCUGACGGUACCGGAAGAAUAAGCACCGGCUAACUUCGUG